GACGAACGCUGGCGGCGUGCUUAACACAUGCAAGUCGAACGGUGACGGAGGAGCUUGCUCCUCCUGAUCAGUGGCGAACGGGUGAGUAACACGUGAGCAAUCUGCCCCUGACUCUGGGAUAACUGCGGGAAACUGUAGCUAAUACCGGAUACGACGCGCGAAGGCAUCUUCUGCGCGCGGAAAGAAUUUCGAUCAGGGAUGAGCUCGCGGCCUAUCAGCUUGUUGGUGAGGUAAUGGCUCACCAAGGCGACGACGGGUAGCCGGCCUGAGAGGGUGACCGGCCACACUGGGACUGAGACACGGCCCAGACUCCUACGGGAGGCAGCAGUGGGGAAUAUUGCACAAUGGGCGCAAGCCUGAUGCAGCAACGCCGCGUGAGGGACGACGGCCUUCGGGUUGUAAACCUCUUUUGGCAGGGAAGAAGCGAAAGUGACGGUACCUGCAGAAAAAGCACCGGCUAACUACGUG
This 468-nucleotide ribosomal RNA is filed under the name uncultured bacterium. RNAcentral describes it as "partial 16S ribosomal RNA". It matches the Rfam family "Bacterial small subunit ribosomal RNA", at positions 28 to 507 of the family's 1533-position model. The record is from RNAcentral.